RNAcentral lists this ribosomal RNA (283 nucleotides) under uncultured bacterium. Its description in RNAcentral is "partial 16S ribosomal RNA". It matches the Rfam family "Bacterial small subunit ribosomal RNA", at positions 334 to 634 of the family's 1533-position model. The record is from RNAcentral.
GAGCCCUACGGGGCGCAGCAGUGGGGAAUAUUGCACAAUGGGGGAAACCCUGAUGCAGCGACGCCGCGUGAAGGAAGAAGUAUUUCGGUAUGUAAACUUCUCUCCUCAGGGAAGCCAAUGACGGUACCUGACUAAGAAGCCCCGGCUAACUACGUGCCAGCAGCCGCGGUAAUACGUAGGGGGCAAGCGUUAUCCGGAUUUACUGGGUGUAAAGGGAGCGUAGGCGGUGCAGCAAGUCAGAAGUGAAAGCCCGGGGCUCAACUCCGGGACUGCUUUUGAAACU